This 253-nucleotide ribosomal RNA is filed under the name uncultured bacterium. RNAcentral's name for it is "partial 16S ribosomal RNA". It matches the Rfam family "Bacterial small subunit ribosomal RNA", at positions 524 to 776 of the family's 1533-position model. The record is from RNAcentral.
UACAGAGGGUGCAAGCGUUGCUCGGAUUUACUGGGCGUAAAGCGUACGCAGACGGUGCGGUAGGUCGGAUGUGAAAGCCCUGGGCUCAACCCAGGAACUGCAUCCGAAACCCCCGCGCUCGAGUAUGAGAGAGGGAAGCGGAAUUCCUGGUGUAGAGGUGAAAUUCGUAGAUAUCAGGAGGAACAUCAGCGGCGAAGGCGGCUUCUUGGCUCAUUACUGACGUUCAGGUACGAAAGCGUGGGUAGCAAACAGG